Molecule: non-coding RNA, 106 nt
Filed under: Janthinobacterium agaricidamnosum
Lineage: Bacteria; Pseudomonadati; Pseudomonadota; Betaproteobacteria; Burkholderiales; Oxalobacteraceae
Also listed under: 1 other name
Description: TPP sequence
Rfam family: TPP riboswitch aptamer (THI element)
About the family: Vitamin B(1) in its active form thiamin pyrophosphate (TPP) is an essential coenzyme that is synthesised by coupling of pyrimidine and thiazole moieties in bacteria. The previously detected thiamin-regulatory element, thi box was extended, resulting in a new, highly conserved RNA secondary structure, the THI element, which is widely distributed in eubacteria and also occurs in some archaea.
Source: RNAcentral
CGCUUUCGCUAGGGGUCCUGGAAACGUACAUACUGUUUCCGGGUGAGAGAUACCCUUCGUACCUGAUCUGGAUAAUGCCAGCGAAGGAAAGCGCAAAGUUUCUUCC